UACGUAGGGUGCGAGCGUUAAUCGGAAUUACUGGGCGUAAAGUGUGCGCAGGCGGCCGCGCAAGUCGAGUGUGAAAGCCCCGAGCUUAACUUGGGAAUUGCGCUCGAAACUACGUGGCUGGAGUGUGGCAGAGGAAGGUGGAAUUCCAGGUGUAGCGGUGAAAUGCGUAGAGAUCUGGAGGAAUACCGAUGGCGAAGGCAGGUCUCUGGGCUGACACUGACGCUCAUGCACGAAAGCGUGGGGAGCAAACAGG
RNAcentral lists this ribosomal RNA (253 nucleotides) under uncultured bacterium. RNAcentral describes it as "partial 16S ribosomal RNA". It matches the Rfam family "Bacterial small subunit ribosomal RNA", at positions 524 to 776 of the family's 1533-position model. The record is from RNAcentral.